This is an RNA transcript of Anolis carolinensis (green anole), 7153 nucleotides long. RefSeq lists it as uncharacterized. The record is from RefSeq and is a predicted model, not a curated record. The transcript has 2 exons. NCBI's taxonomy places the organism in Eukaryota, Metazoa, Chordata, Lepidosauria, Squamata, Anolidae.
CCAAAAGAGGGGAGACCAAGCCUGGAGGGGAUGCGGACCCGAAGGGAAGCAGCCCCAACUGGAGAGGAGAGGAGGGCAGAGGAGGAGAGAGCAAGAGCAAGAGCCAGCCUCCCUUGCCGAGUGCGCCUCUGAUGGAAAUACUGAGGCUGAAAAGUCACAGCAGUUAUGUUACAGCCACGGGGAGAACGGUAAGCAUACACAACCUGGGACUUGAACGCAGAGCUUGAAGGAACACUUCCCAGGAUCCCCCAGUCAGUUUUUUCCAUCUGGAAAAUGAGAAUCACAGCCAUUAAAAUGGAUCACUGGGAAGAUGAAAUGGUGCCAACAACCAUAAAUUGUUGGCAUGUGCAUAUGCCUUCAAAUUGCUUGUUCACUUACGGCGUCUCCAUGAAUUGUAUCAGGUUUUUAAAGGCAAGGAAUCCACAAUUCCUUCCUUUUAAAUAUAACUUAUUAGCAGGGCUUCCAUUCAAAUAGUGGGCCCUCGGUAUCCACAAGGGUUUGAUUCCAGGACUCCCUGUAGAUAGCAAAAUUAGUGCCUAAUAAUAAUACAGUAGAGUCUCACUUAUCCAAGCUAAACGGGCCGGCAGAAGCUUGGAUAAGCAAAUAUCUUGGAUAAUAAGGAGAGAUUAAGGAAAAGCCUAUUAAACAUCAAAUUAGGUUAUAAUUUUACAAAUUAAGCACCAAAACUUCAUGUUAUACAACAAAUUUGACAGAAAAAGUAGUUCAAUACACAAUAAUGUUAUGUUGUAAUUACUGUAUUUACGAAUUUAGCACCAAAAUAUCACGAUAUAUUGAAAACAUUGACUACAAAAAUGGCUUGGAUUAUCCAGAGGCUUGGAUAAGUGAGGCUUGGAUAAGUGAGCCUCUACUGUAAUAAUAAUAAUAUUAAUAAUAAUAAUAAUAAUAAUAAUAAUAAUAAUAAUAAUAAUAAUAAUAAAUUACCUGCCUCUCUUUGCAGCUCGAAGUGGGGUAAACGAUGAACACAGUAAUAUUAUACAUGGUAUGGUAAAAUAGCAUCUCUUAUAUAAACUGGCAAAAGAUGUGCUUUUUGGAAUUAACAAAACCCCAAAUUUUCCAGCUCUGGGUCAUUGUAUCCAUAGAUCGAGCAUUGACUGUAUGAACUGGGACUGACUCAGCUUAGAUUCAAAGAUCAGAUGGGAUCUUAUGUCUGCCCAGAAUGCAUGAAAUACUUUAGUUUUCAUUGCUUUUGUGUAGUUGGUGAGGAGAGGGCCUUUGUUGUGCAUUCCUGCCUGAGAGAAUAUUGGAUCCGAGAGCCAAAUGGACGAUUCUGUGAUGCUGAGGAUAACUGUGCCGCGAACGGCAGCUUCCUAUGCGGAGUGCACGACUGAUGCAAAUUGAGCACAUCUGCAUAAUCCUUUGCUUGCCUUCUGAAAUUUGUACUACAUAAUUUAUUCUUAAUAGGCCCAUCACGAGGGAGGCAAAGGACCACGCAGGGCCAUGAACCCUUCUCCCGCUUCUCCGCCUCAUCUAUGGAAACCUUAAUCAACUCAACCUUCUGGCUUCUGGGAUUCCAGCCAGCCAGACCCGGUGCCCAAGUAACUCCCCGGCUUAAUUUCACAGCCGUAUACGUACCACAGACAUGCCUUUUCCACAAGAUUGCCACGAUAUCCCACUUUUAUUAAUUUAUCGGAUUGAAACAAUUAGAGCUUGCUGGUCCAUCAAGACUUCCAAGAUGGUAGGAUAAUACAGAUUUUGAAAAGGGUGUUUAGCAUCCAGGAGAGAAAAUUGGAUUUGGCGGAGGUAGAAGUGGGCAGAAUCACUUCUGAAUCAUGUCUGUCUAUAUAUGUUGUUUGUCUGUUGACAUUGAAUGUUUGCCAUAUAUGUGUUCAUUGUAAUCCGCCCUGAGUCCCCUUCGGGGUGAGAAGGGCGGAAUAUAAAUACUGUAAAUAAAUAAAUAAAUAAUAAAUUUUUGGAAAACUGAAAAUCCUAGAAUUCCUAACCCAUUUUGGUUUAGAUGUUUUUCCAUCUCUGAUUGUAAGUCACUGGGGUUUCGGGUAGAGAAAAUGCUUUUUUGUCACCUGCGAUCUUAUUGUUUUAAUUCGGACUUGAAUCUGAGAUUUUGGAGACAUAAUCCAUGCACCGAUCCUGCUGACACACACUCCCAGUUCGCCUCAACUAGAUGAGCAUCUAAGUAUAGCUCUUGCCUCUCAAAAAAGCCUCCAUCUCAUCAAUGCACUCCACAAUUUUUUGGAGAGACAAUCCAAGGAAGACGCAGGUUGUUUUGGAAAGAAAUGCACACAAAUCCGCUUUUAAAAGCUUUCCACAGAUCAACCAUAGACAAAUGGUCCACCAGGCAAUAGCACUAUGGUUACAAAUUAAGGUUUGUGUUGGGCAUUCAGGGAUGUCCAACUAUACAUGCACAUCCAUGCACUAUACAUGCACAUCCAUGGGCUCGGGCUGUGGCGCAGGCUGGAGAGCAGCUGCAAUGAAUCACUGCAAUGAAUCACUCUGACCAAGAGGUCAUGAGUUCGAGGCCCGCUCGGAGCCUAUGUUUGUCUUGUCUUUGUUCUAUGUUAAAAGGCAUUGAAUGUUUGCCUAUAUGUGUAAUGUGAUCCGCCCCGAGUCCCCUUCGGGGUGAGAAGGGCGGAAUAUAAAUGCUGUAAAUAAAUAAAUAAUAAAUAAUAGUAUGAACUGACAAGACCACCUAUAAACUCCCACAGAAGCUCUGGAAUACAGCAUACUGUUCAGUAAUGCGAUCUGUUGGACUACAAUUCCCAGAAUCCCCUAUGCAAUGUUGACCAGGCUGACUGCAGUUUCUGAUAUUUUUAGUCCAAAAAACUUCUGCUGGAACAGAGUGCAUCUACACUGUUGAAUGAAUGAGACCACCUCCAACUGCCAUGGCUCAGUGCUAUGAACUCUUGGGAGUUCUAGUUUGAUGAACACCAACACUCUUGGGCAAAGAAGGCUAAGGACCUUGUGAAGCUGCAGCCCUAAUGAUUUCAAAGCAUUGGGCCAUGGCAGUUAAAGUGGCCUCAAACUACAUUAAUUCCACAGUGCAGAUGCACCCAUAGAUAGAUAGAUUCUCCAGGUUUAGGUUUGAAACUUAAAGGAGCUAUCCAAGGUGCUGAACCCAUAUCCAAAACCCAUCUCAGGAUUGGAGAUUUCCUUGAAAGCUUGGGAUGAAACAGCCAGCUGCCCCUGUUCCAUAUGUACCUUGGUUUUUAUGGAAGAAAAGUUCAGGAACUAAAUAGGCACAAAGGAGUUGGAAGCAGAAGUGAAAAACAGAGGAAAUAGAUUAAAAUGUCAACACAUGAUUAACAUGGCUUAGAAAGCCUUGAAACAGGAGCGCUUUAGGGGCAAAGUCACGAGGUUUUGAACAGCCCAGAUACUAGUGGAUUACAGGAUCCAUCUUUUCAACAAUUGACAAGCAUUGAGUUGAUGGGUCAAGGGUCCAUUAAUCCUCUAUAGAGCGAUCAGUUCCUCAUCUAUACUGGUGGGGCUGUUUCUUCCUUCACAAAGGCCCUGUUGAAUAGCAAAGGAGUCAACUCUUAUGUCUUGUUUGUGAAGAAAGCACACACACAAAGCUUCCUCCUGGACUUGCAACUGAGCUACUAUGGCCUUCCAUUUCAUAGGAAAAGAAUAAUGAUCAGGGCUGGGCUGUUGGUUAGUAGCCAGCUUCAAUAAAUUACUAUUGCCCAAGAGGUCAUGAGUUCGAAGCCAGCCCGGGUCGGAUUAAGCCCCCGACCAUUAAAUAGUCUAGCUUGCUGUUGACCUAUGCAGCCUGAAAGACAGUUGCAUCUGUCGAGUAGGAAAUGUAGGUACUGCUUUAUGCGGCAAGGCUAAUUUAACGAAUCUACAACACCAUAAAACCUUCCAACAGUGUGCAGAAGAAUGAGGAAGUACUCCAUCAAGGACUCGGUGCCACAAGUGGACAGUGAAGCAGCAGCUCCCCCUGUGGCCGCAAUCGAGCAAUCCUCAUGAAGCCGGAAGCUGGAAAAUGUUAAAUUGCCUCUGUGUCUGUCUAUAUAGGUUGUAUAUCUAAUGGCAUUGAAUGUUUGCCAUGUAUAUGUGCAUUGUGAUUCGCCCUGAGUCCACUUCGGGGUGAGAAGGGUGGAAUAUAAAUACUGUAAAUAAAUAAAAUAGAGUAUCCCUCUCUACAUAGCCAAAAACAAAUCCUAAAGGUCCCAAUAAACAUCAGCAGAUGAUGCAAUGGUUCUUCAUCUGGCAACAAGGACACAGCCAGGUGCUUCUCUGACCCUGCCCUCUACUCCCCAAAUAAUAAAUGAAUGGCUGAUGGGAAAGUUGCAGUUCAGUCCGGGAGUAAAUAACAGGCAGUUUAUUCAGAAUGCACAAGAAAUGCAUACCUGGAAUAGGGAAAGCUGACCAUUCUCCUUGCUAUGGAAGUUUAAUAAUGCAGUGGUGGGUUGAAAAACAAGGAUCAGGAUAUGGAGAUAGAAUGAGUGCAAGGGAUAUUACUGGAUCUAAUUCAAAGCAAGAUUGCUCGGGAGGGAUAGGUACUUUGGGGAUUGGAAUCCAAAGACCAGCAAGAGGUAUUCUGCUUAGUUGCCUUGCUUUAAUGUCUUUGCAGAAGAUUUUGAUUGCCUUACUGAGAUAUGCAAGGUGGUAUUAAUACAACAUGCUGUUGCCAUUGUUGAUACAAGCUGAUGUGAAUUUCCGGAAAGGCAACUGAGGCAUUCUAAAAUAAAUUAGGAAAGGCUGCUUCAUCUCGUUCCGGGAUAAUCAUAAUACAAAGUUUAUUCCUUAUUUACAAGGUCUUCAGUCAAAUCAAGUUGGCCGUGAAGGUAAGAAUGACAAGAGUCUGCACGACGAAUCGCACCAGAGGAUUACUUCGUGUGUCCAAGAGGCACCACUUCCUGUUUGGCUACCGUUAUACAUGAAGAGGCGCUCCAGAAAUGUCACUGCAUCCCGUCAUCUCUCUCUGGCCAUGGCUACCAGUUUGGUUCAAGUUCCCUCCUAUGACUCCUCUGGAAAGCCAUGGCAAUCUGAAGUCAUCUAUUUCUUCUUCCAUCAAACAAUAACGGCUCAGCCACUUUCAUCACUCUUUUGAAUCUUUCUCGUCCUCAGCUUUGGGAUCCUGGAGGUGCGCAGCAGUGCUCUCCUGGGCCUUCUGGUUUGCCACUUUCAACCGAAGCCGUUCUAAGAGACACUGGGCUACCUGUGUGAGGCUGUGCUGUUGGAGGAAGAAUGAACAAGAGAAGAGAUUUCAUUUCAAAGAAUGCAUGCCUUGCCUUUCCAGCUUUACCAGGAUGCACAGAGUGAUUCAUUCUCUAGAUAAAAAUGUCAGCACUUGGAAAAGUUAGUGUUUGUGGACAACAACUACUAAAUUCUCCAUCUAAUGCUGGAAAUUGUAGCUUAGCAUACAAAUAGAAUUAGAGUAUUUAGGUUGUGAUGAAAGAAGCAAUUUCUUAUUGGGUUGCUGUGAGUUUUCCAGGCUGUCUGGCCAUGUUCCAUAAGCAUUCUCUCUUGAUGUUUCGCCCACAUCUAUGGCAGGCAUCCUCAGAGUUUAUGAGGUAUGUUGGAAACAAGGCAAGUGGAGUUUAUAUAUCUGUGGAAUGUUCAGGUUGGGAGAAAGAACUCUUGUCUGUUGAUUAGCACUGAAUUCAGUUUCAAGGCCUGGCUGCUUCCUGCCUGGGGAAUGCUUUGUUGGGAGAUGGUAGCUGGCCCAGAGUGAGUCAUGUCUGGAAUUCCUCUGUUCUGUUCUGUUAAUGUUGUUCUUUAUUCACUGUCCAGAUUUUGGAUUUUUUAAAUACUGAUAAUGAGUUUUUGUUCAUUUUCAUGGUUUCCUCCUUUCUGUUGAAAUUGUCCACAUGCUCGUGGCUUUCAAUGGCUUCUCUCUGUAGUCUGAUAUGGUAGUUGAUGAACCAAUCUGGACACAGCUUAUUAUUUGAGAACACAAAAAUGCUGGACUACUCUAACAACCACCAUAUCAGACUAGAACAUGGCCAUACAGCCCAGAAAACUCACAGCAACCUAGUGAUUCCGGCCAUGAAAGCUUUCGACAACACAAUUUCUUAUUGUUGAUGCCCCCUAGAAGUAAAGUGGUCUCAAACUCCAUUCAAAAGAUCUGUUAGUGUAGGAGCAAACAGAGGCUCUGUCAGGAAGUUAGCUGAUCAAUUGUGUGCCACAAUUGUCACAUGUGGCAGCCACUCACUGCACAACAGUAGAUGGACACACAGACAAGAAGUCAAAAACCUUGAGUGAGUACACACGAAGGUUCAAAGGGGUGGAACUGGCUUUGCCCUUCCAUAAACCACCCUGAAGUAGCCAUGAUGCAUGGAUUUCUCCUUCCUUUCCUGCUGCUCGGCAACAUAUAUAUUUACUUUGAAGAAAAAUUAACUUCUUGGAAUAACAACUCCUGGAAUCCCUCACCUAGCAUAGUCAAUAAAUUCAUUUUUUAACCUGGAAAGUUGCUUUUUGGGGUUACAGCUCACUAGAACUGUUCAUUCCAUGAGCAAGACAACUGAGGAUUUCUGGAAAUUGCAAUCUAAAUAAAGAUCCUCCUCAAGCUGUACUUGGCAACUGGUUGGCAACAGGACUCCCAAAUGCCUCAAUACGCAUUUGUAAGCAGUGUAAAAUAAACAUAGUAUAUAGAUAUAUGCCUUUACGAGGGAGGCAGGGAAGUACAGAAAAUGCAGACUGCAGUGAGCAACCCCUUCUGCCUUCCAAGGGAGUGGAACACUUGGGGGCCAGGCUCUAGCACAGCAGGUUAACCGCCAGCUGCAAUAAAUCUUAUCAAUCGAAAGGUUGGCAGUUCGAAGCCCGGGUCGGGGUGAGCACCCAACCUUCAGCCCAGCUCACUGCCCACCUAGCAGAUCGAAAAAAAGCUGAAUAGAUUAAUAGAUACCGCUGUAGUGGGGAGAUAUUUUUAUGGCAUCAUAAAGAAAAUACGAGAAAAAUGCCGGCGAUCAAAAAAAGGAGGAAGUCUGUGAACAGAGCUCUUUGACAUGGAGGGUGGAGCGACAGUACUUCCCUGUGGUUGGAAUCGAGCAGAACCUCCAGGAAGCUGAAGAUGGGAAAUGCCAAUAUACCUCUAUCUGUACUGUUGUCUGUCCUGUCUGUGUAUAACGGCAUUGAAUGUUUACUGUAUAUGUGUUCUGUGAUCUGCCCUGAAUCCCCUUUGGGGUGAGAAGGGCGGGAUAUAAAUGCUGUAAAUAAAUAAGAAAUAAAUACA